AUACGUAGGGUGCAAGCGUUAAUCGGAAUUACUGGGCGUAAAGCGUGCGCAGGCGGUUUUGUAAACCAGAGGUGAAAUCCCCGGGCUCAACCUGGGAACUGCCUUUGUGACUGCAAGGCUAGAGUACGGCAGAGGGGGAUGGGAUUCCGCGUGUAGCAGUGAAAAGCGUAGAUAUGCGGAGGAACACCGAUGGCGAAGGCAAUCCCCUGGGCCUGUACUGAUGCUCAUGCACGAAAGCGUGGGGAGCAAACAGGAUUAGAUACCCUGGUAGUCCACGCCCUAAACGAUGUCAACUGGUUGUUGGGGAUUUAUUUUCUCAGUAACGAAGCUAACGCGUGAAGUUGACCGCCUGGGGAGUACGGCCGCAAGGUUAAAACUCAAAUGAAUUGGCGGGG
Molecule: ribosomal RNA, 395 nt
Filed under: uncultured bacterium
Lineage: Bacteria
Description: partial 16S ribosomal RNA
Rfam family: Bacterial small subunit ribosomal RNA
Source: RNAcentral